This is a long non-coding RNA of Xenopus laevis (African clawed frog), 712 nucleotides long. RefSeq lists it as uncharacterized. The record is from RefSeq and is a predicted model, not a curated record. The transcript has 2 exons. NCBI's taxonomy places the organism in Eukaryota, Metazoa, Chordata, Amphibia, Anura, Pipidae.
UCAUGUGAGUUGGAGAGCUGUCGGGGACGCGCACAUAGGACAGAGCUGCAGCUGCUGAUCACCGUUUCGCCUGUUUUCAAAAUGUAUUGUACAACAUGGAGGCAAUUUUUAUUGGUGAAUUUUUAAGUUAAACCCAAGAGCAGUGGGCGCAUUCCAAGAGGCAGACCAGAAGAUAUGAGGGGGAGCUGUGACCACUGUCUUCCUUGAAAUAUACAGCAGCCUGUGCAGGAAGAAAAGAAGCUAGUUAUUUCUAAGCAGCGUGGGUCUCCUACACAGUAUGUGCGCCUGUAGCGUGUUCCCAGGGAGAGAAUGAAUCCUUGCGCCUGCUUCCUCCAACUCACUGUGACGUAUUGUGGCAGGCGGAGGCUCCUGCUUCUGUGCUGGAAGAUUUUAAAUAUGGUGCCUGUAAAAGAGAUUUGGAGGAGAACCGCAGGAUAUAAAUGACCAUGCAAGGUGACGGAUUCUUUCAGUUUAACCCACUGAUUGUUGUAUAACAGGGAGUUUUAGAAACAGGGGCAGGUUUUUUAAUUUAAAGGUUUACAAUGUGCGGGCCAUAUUCUGUUAUAUUUUUGGAAUUUGCUGCGGGCCAAUUAAAAAUGGAUCGUGGGCUGCAGUUGGCCCGCGGGCCGUCGUUUGGACACCCCUGUUCUAGGGGCAUUAUUAAUGGAAUUUUCAUUUGACAGUGGCAGGCAGUGAGAGCAGAAGAAGAGCU